UCGCAUCUGUGCAUGCAGCAUAUCAAUAAGCGGAGGAAAAGAAACUAACAAGGAUUCCCCUAGUAACGGCGAGUGAAGCGGGAAGAGCUCAAAUUUGAAAUCUUAAAGGGUUUCCCUUUACGAAUUGUAGUUUAAAGAAGUGUUUUCUGUUGAGGUUUUGGUAAAAGUUCUUUGGAAUAGGACAUCAUAGAGGGUGAGAAUCCCGUAUUUGACCUUUACUUUCAACUUUGUGAUACACUUUCAAAGAGUCGGAUUGUUUGGGAAUGCAGUCCAAAAUGGGUGGUAAAUUUCAUCUAAAGCUAAAUAUUAGGCGAGAGACCGAUAGCGAACAAGUACCGUGAGGGAAAGAUGAAAAGAACUUUGAAAAGAGAGUUAAACAGUACGUGAAAUUGUCAAAAGGGAAGCGUUUGACACCAGUGUUGUUUUUCUGAAAAUCAAUUAAAGAACUGUUUAUGCUAAGUCUGUUUAGACUUUAUCAGCUAACUGUUUAGUUUUGAGCUUUUCUUUAAUGCACUUUUCAGUUAACGAAGUCAACAUCAAUUUCUUUUGCUGUAAAAAAGCUUGAGGAAGGUGGCUUGAGAUUCGUCUUAAGUGUUUAUAGCCUCUUGCCUAUGCAGUCGGAGAGAUCGAGGUCUGCAGCGUAGAUCCUUCGGGGCUAAAUGCAUUUGUGCUAAGUUAUAACAUUUUAUAGACAACUUGUUGACUAUGAUUUGUCUUGUAGCUUACUCGCUUAUGUUAUUUUACCUACGCUUAGGAUGUUGACAGCAGUAUAGACUGU
This 778-nucleotide ribosomal RNA is filed under the name uncultured Neocallimastigales. RNAcentral describes it as "partial large subunit ribosomal RNA". It matches the Rfam family "Eukaryotic large subunit ribosomal RNA", at positions 24 to 629 of the family's 3401-position model. Lineage: Eukaryota; Fungi; Neocallimastigomycota; Neocallimastigomycetes; Neocallimastigales. The record is from RNAcentral.